UGCAGAUGAUGUCUUUCUCACGAUGGUCUUCCUAAACUCUUAAAGAGCUCUGAGGAAACUGCCUAUGGCAAUGCUGAUGCGGUGGA
Danio aesculapii is the source of this 86-nucleotide small nucleolar RNA. RefSeq annotates it as small nucleolar RNA SNORD35. Lineage: Eukaryota; Metazoa; Chordata; Actinopteri; Cypriniformes; Danionidae. The transcript has a single exon. The record is from RefSeq and is a predicted model, not a curated record.